AAAAAAGGUAAGCUACUAAGAGCGAAUGGUGGAUGCCUUGACUGGUAAAGGCGAUGAAGGACGUACUAGACUGCGAUAAGCUACGGGGAGCUGUCAAGAAGCUUUGAUCCGUAGAUUUCCGAAUGGGGCAACCCAAUGUAUAGAGAUAUACAUUACCUAUAUAGGAGCGAACGAGGGGAAUUGAAACAUCUUAGUACCCUCAGGAAAAGAAAUCAAUAGAGAUUGCGUCAGUAGCGGCGAGCGAAAGCGCAAGAGGGCAAACCCAGUGCUUGCACUGGGGGUUGUAGGACUGCAAUGUGCAAGAGGUGAGUUUAGCAGAACAUUCUGGAAAGUAUAGCCAUAGAGGGUGAUAGUCCCGUAUGCGAAAAACAAACCUUAGCUAGCAGUAUCCUGAGUAGGGCGGGACACGAGAAAUCCUGUCUGAAGCUGGGUCGACCACGAUCCAACCCUAAAUACUAAUACCAGAUCGAUAGUGCACAAGUACCGUGAGGGAAAGGUGAAAAGAACUGAGGUGAUCAGAGUGAAAUAGAACCUGAAACCAUUUGCUUACAAUCAUUCAGAGCCCUAUGUAGCAAUACAGGGUGAUGGACUGCCUUUUGCAUAAUGAGCCUGCGAGUUGUGGUGUCUGGCAAGGUUAAGCAAACGCGAAGCCGUAGCGAAAGCGAGUCUGAAUAGGGCGCUUAGUCAGAUGCUGCAGACCCGAAACGAAGUGAUCUAUCCAUGAGCAAGUUGAAGCUAGUGUAAGAACUAGUGGAGGACUGAACCCAUAGGCGUUGAAAAGCCCCGGGAUGACUUGUGGAUAGGGGUGAAAGGCCAAUCAAACUUCGUGAUAGCUGGUUCUCUCCGAAAUAUAUUUAGGUAUAGCGUUGUGUCGUAAUAUAAGGGGGUAGAGCACUGAAUGGGCUAGGGCAUACACCAAUGUACCAAACCCUAUCAAACUCCGAAUACCUUAUAUGUAAUCACAGCAGUCAGGCGGCGAGUGAUAAAAUCCGUCGUCAAGAGGGAAACAACCCAGACUACCAGCUAAGGUCCCUAAAUCUUACUUAAGUGGAAAACGAUGUGAAGUUACUUAAACAACCAGGAGGUUGGCUUAGAAGCAGCCAUCCUUUAAAGAAAGCGUAAUAGCUCACUGGUCUAGUGAUUUUGCGCGGAAAAUAUAACGGGGCUAAAGUAAGUACCGAAGCUGUAGACUUGCGCACAACUUAGAUUAUUUAAGUUUAGAAUAUGAGAAACUAAGUUAUAUGUUUAGUUAUAUUUUUACUGAUUUUUAUAGAGUAAAGAUAGAAAUAAAACUUAGUAAAAUCAGUAAAAAUAUUCUUAGACUAAAGUUAAGUAGUUUAAGUUGUGUGCAAGUGGUAGGAGAGCGUUCUAUUUGCGUCGAAGGUAUACCGGUAAGGAGUGCUGGAGCGAAUAGAAGUGAGCAUGCAGGCAUGAGUAGCGAUAAUUAAUGUGAGAAUCAUUAACGCCGUAAACCCAAGGUUUCCUACGCGAUGCUCGUCAUCGUAGGGUUAGUCGGGUCCUAAGUCGAGUCCGAAAGGGGUAGACGAUGGCAAAUUGGUUAAUAUUCCAAUACCAACAUUAGUGUGCGAUGGAAGGACGCUUAGGGCUAAGGGGGCUAGCGGAUGGAAGUGCUAGUCUAAGGUCGUAGGAGGUUAUACAGGCAAAUCCGUAUAACAAUACUCCGAGAACUGAAAGGCUUUUUGAAGUCUUCGGAUGGAUAGAAGAACCCCUGAUGCCGUCGAGCCAAGAAAAGUUUCUAAGUUUAGCUAAUGUUGCCCGUACCGUAAACCGACACAGGUGGGUGGGAUGAGUAUUCUAAGGCGCGUGGAAGAACUCUCUUUAAGGAACUCUGCAAAAUAGCACCGUAUCUUCGGUAUAAGGUGUGGUUAGCUUUGUAUUAGGAUUUACUCCGAAAGCGAAGAAACUUACAACAAAGAGUCCCUCCCGACUGUUUACCAAAAACACAGCACUCUGCUAACUCGUAAGAGGAUGUAUAGGGUGUGACGCCUGCCCGGUGCUCGAAGGUUAAUUGAUGGGGUUAGCAUUAGCGAAGCUCUUGAUCGAAGCCCGAGUAAACGGCGGCCGUAACUAUAACGGUCCUAAGGUAGCGAAAUUCCUUGUCGGUUAAAUACCGACCUGCAUGAAUGGCGUAACGAGAUGGGAGCUGUCUCAAAGAGGGAUCCAGUGAAAUUGUAGUGGAGGUGAAAAUUCCUCCUACCCGCGGCAAGACGGAAAGACCCCGUGGACCUUUACUACAGCUUGACACUGCUAUUUGGAUAAGAAUGUGCAGGAUAGGUGGGAGGCUUUGAGUAUAUGACGCCAGUUGUAUAUGAGCCAUUGUUGAGAUACCACUCUUUCUUAUUUGGGUAGCUAACCAGCUUGAGUUAUCC
RNAcentral lists this ribosomal RNA (2390 nucleotides) under Campylobacter coli. RNAcentral's name for it is "partial 23S ribosomal RNA". It matches the Rfam family "Bacterial large subunit ribosomal RNA", at positions 1 to 2241 of the family's 2925-position model. Lineage: Bacteria; Pseudomonadati; Campylobacterota; Epsilonproteobacteria; Campylobacterales; Campylobacteraceae. The record is from RNAcentral.